CACAUAUCUGUACGCUAUACCCGCCAGCGCCUAAGCCCAAUCCCACCCAUCUUCUUCAACCUCAACCCCUUUCUUUUUAUCUCUCUAGGGUUUCUGUGUUGUGCAGUGUCAUAAUCUCCAAUGGAUGAUCCCACGAUUUCACCAUUGACUGUCCAAUCAGUUCCUUCGUCCCAGCUGAAUGUUCCUGCCAUCAUGCCACGCCCGUCUCUGAAUCUCGAAACCCUAACUCCAUCUGACCACGUGAGCCGCUUGAUCAAUUCCAACCACUAUAUAUCUCCGUCAAGAACGAUUUAUUCCGAUAGGUUUAUUCCUAGCAGAUCCAACUCCAAUUUUGCCCUAUUCAACAUCUCGUCGUCUUCGCCUCCAUUGUCGACGAAUCCUCCGGCGUCUGA
RNAcentral lists this unclassified non-coding RNA (392 nucleotides) under Hevea brasiliensis (rubber tree). Lineage: Eukaryota; Viridiplantae; Streptophyta; Magnoliopsida; Malpighiales; Euphorbiaceae. The record is from RNAcentral.